CAGCCGCCGCGGGAAUACGUAGGUGGCAAGCGUUGUCCGGAAUUAUUGGGCGUAAAGGGCUCGCGGGCGGUUUCUUAAGUCUGAUGUGAAAGCCCCCGGCUCAACCGGGGAGGGUCAUUGGAAACUGGGAAACUUGAGUGCAGAAGAGGAGAGUGGAAUUCCACGUGUAGCGGUGGAAUGCGUAGAGAUGUGGAGGAACACCAGUGGCGAAGGCGACUCUCUGGUCUGUAACUGACGCUGAGGAGCGAAAGCGUGGGGAGCGAAUAGGAUUAGAUACCCCUGUAGUCCCUGUCUCUUAUAC
Molecule: ribosomal RNA, 301 nt
Filed under: uncultured bacterium
Lineage: Bacteria
Description: partial 16S ribosomal RNA
Rfam family: Bacterial small subunit ribosomal RNA
Source: RNAcentral